Eriocheir sinensis (Chinese mitten crab) is the source of this 1616-nucleotide long non-coding RNA. RefSeq lists it as uncharacterized. The record is from RefSeq and is a predicted model, not a curated record. NCBI's taxonomy places the organism in Eukaryota, Metazoa, Arthropoda, Malacostraca, Decapoda, Varunidae. The transcript is spliced from 2 exons.
UGAGCCCCAGUGGUAGUUUGACCCUUCUGCUGUACCAUGAACUUAAAGAAACACUCAUUAGAACUCGACUAACCUCCUUUUCAAUUCGGCAUAGUUAAGCGCACUGUGGUUAAGCGUUGAUGUGAGAGGUGAAAACGAAGUAGAAAUGGCUCCUAAGAACACCUAUUUGUCAAGGCUUUCGUGGGAGCUUUGAGCAUUUCCAGGGGUAGUUUUUUGAGCCCAGGUGGUAGCUUGACCCUUCUUCUGUACCAUGAACCUAAAGAAACACUCAUUAGAACUCGACUGAUCUCCUUUUCAUUCGGCAUAGUUAAGCGUUGAGGCGAGAGGUGAAAACGAAGUAGAAAUGGCUCCUAAGAACACCUAUUUGUCAAGGCUUUCGAGGGAGCUUUGAGCAUUUCCAGGGGUAGUUUUUUGAGCCCCGGUGGUAGUUUGACCCUUCUGCUGUACCAUGAACCUAAAAGAACACGCAUUAGAACCCGAUUCAUCUCCCCUUCGGUCUUAGGAAGUGGAUGAUGUGGGAGGUGGCAGCGUCUGAACAGGGACCAUAUUUUUAAACAUUUCGCCGCUAAAGUACAGUUAUUUGACAAGGCUUUCGUAGGAGUUCUGAGCAUUUCCAGAUGUAGUUUUAUAACCCCGGCGGUAGCUUGACCCUUCUUCUGUACCAUGAACCUAAAAGAACAAGCAUUAGAAGCCGAUUGAUCUCCCCUUCGCUCUUAGGAAGUGGAUGAUGUGGGAGGUGGCAGCGUCUGAACAGGGACCAUAUUUUUAAACAUUUCGCCGCUAAAGUACAAUUAUUUGACAAGGCUUUCGUAGGAGUUCUGAGCAUUUCAAGAUGUAGUUUUAUAACCCCGGCGGUAGCUUGACCCUUCUUCUGUACCAUGAACCUAAAAGAACACGCAUUAGAAGCCGAUUGAUCUCCCCUUCGCUCUUAGGAAGUGGAUGAUGUGGGAGGUGGCAGCGUCUGAUAAUGCCGGUCUUAGCGAGUAGCCAGGCGCAUGAAGUGUUCUGCACGGCGUUUGCUUAACCCGAUUCGACGGUGAUCUAAGCCGAGAAAAUUGUUGUUCCUCCGAUUAGAGUCAAUUUUAGAGUCUUUACGUUUUUUUAUAGAAGUAAAAAAAAAAUAAUGAUGAACAGGAAAGUGGAAGAGAAAUUUUAAGCUGACGCCAAGAUGAAAAAAAUAAAAAGUUGAACUACGGAGCUUGUUGAAUUGAAAUUGAAGAUUGGUGUUCCUCCGAUUAAAGUCAAUUUGAGAGUCUUUACGUUUUUAUUAUUUUGUGGAAGUUAAAAAAAAAAUAAUAAACAGGAAAGUGGAAGAAGAAGAAGAACUUGACGCCACGAGACAAAAAAAAAAAAAAUGCUGUACUAUGAGGGGAAAAUCAAUAUUAAAAGAGAGAUUCAUUUACUGGAAGCUUAGAUCCACUUUGCAGGUUAGAAAAAAAAUAUAUAAAUCAUCAGAAAAUAAAGACUUUAGAUUUUGUAAAGGAAAGAUUGAUAAAAAAUAUUGGAGGUUUGGGUGUCUCUCUCUCUGAAUGUGUGUGUGUGUGUGUGUGUGUGUGUGUGUGUGUGUGUGUGUGUGUGUGUGUGUGUGUGUGUGUGUGUGUGUGUGUGUGUGUGUG